This 268-nucleotide unclassified non-coding RNA is filed under the name Hevea brasiliensis (rubber tree). The record is from RNAcentral. Lineage: Eukaryota; Viridiplantae; Streptophyta; Magnoliopsida; Malpighiales; Euphorbiaceae.
GCGGCAUGGAACGCGCGGGUGUAGAGAUUGGUUGCGGCUCGCGAGGGAAUGGCAAAACCGCCAUUCCCUGCACAGGAGGCACGCUGGAGAGUGUCAGGCCGCCUGGUCAUAGGCUUGUUUCAAGGUCUUGAUGUCGAGCUUGACCAUCUUCAUCAUGGCUUCCAUCACCUUCUGUGAUUGCGAAGGCGUGCCGCUUUUCAUCAUCUCGCCAAGAGCGGUCGGAACGAUCUGCCACGACAGGCCGAAUUUGUCCUUGAGCCAACCGCAU